Molecule: ribosomal RNA, 264 nt
Filed under: uncultured archaeon
Lineage: Archaea
Description: partial 16S ribosomal RNA
Rfam family: Archaeal small subunit ribosomal RNA
Source: RNAcentral
ACACGACUACAUUAGAUACCCCUGUAGUCCCAGCUGUAAACUAUGUGCGGUAGGUGUGUCAGUGACCACGUGUCACUGAGGUGCCGAAGGGAAACCGUGAAACGCACCGCCUGGGAGUACGGUCGCAAGGCUGAAACUUAAAGGAAUUGGCGGGGGAGCACCGCAACGGGAGGAGCGUGCGGUUCAAUUGGAUUCAACGCCGGACAACUCACCAGGAGCGACGGUUACAUGAAGGCCAGGCUGAUGACCUUGCCUGAUUUUCCG